RNAcentral lists this ribosomal RNA (203 nucleotides) under uncultured bacterium. Its description in RNAcentral is "partial 16S ribosomal RNA". It matches the Rfam family "Bacterial small subunit ribosomal RNA", at positions 355 to 553 of the family's 1533-position model. The record is from RNAcentral.
UAGGGAAUCUUCCACAAUGGACGCAAGUCUGAUGGAGCAACGCCGCGUGAGUGAAGAAGGUUUUCGGACCGUAAAGCUCUGUUGUUGGUGAAGAAGGAUAGAGGUAGUAACUGGCCUUUAUUUGACGGUAAUCACAGAAAGUCACGGCUAACUACGUGCCAGCAGCCGCGGUAAUACGUAGGUGCAAGCGUUGUCCGGAUUUA